Molecule: ribosomal RNA, 527 nt
Filed under: uncultured bacterium
Lineage: Bacteria
Description: bacterial SSU rRNA
Rfam family: Bacterial small subunit ribosomal RNA
Source: RNAcentral
ACAUCCAGAGAAUUUAGCAGAGAUGCUUUAGUGCCUUCGGGAACUCUGAGACAGGUGCUGCAGUGGCUGUCGUCAGCUCGUGUUGUGAAAUGUUGGGUUAAGUCCCGCAACGAGCGCAACCCUUAUCCUUUGUUGCCAGCACGUAAUGGUGGGAACUCAAAGGAGACUGCCGGUGAUAAACCGGAGGAAGGUGGGGAUGACGUCAAGUCAUCAUGGCCCUUACGAGUAGGGCUACACACGUGCUACAAUGGCGCAUACAAAGAGAAGCGACCUCGCGAGAGCAAGCGGACCUCAUAAAGUGCGUCGUAGUCCGGAUUGGAGUCUGCAACUCGACUCCAUGAAGUCGGAAUCGCUAGUAAUCGUAAAUCAGAAUGUUACGGUGAAUACGUUCCCGGGCCUUGUACACACCGCCCGUCACACCAUGGGAGUGGGUUGCAAAAGAAGUAGAUAGCUUAACCUUCGGGAGGGCGUUUACCACUUUGUGAUUCAUGACUGGGGUGAAGUCGUAACAAGGUAGGCGUAGUGCU